CAGCCGUAAACUAUGCGCGUUAGGUGUAUCGGUGACCACGAGUCACCGAGGUGCCGAAGGGAAACCGUGAAACGUGCCGCCUGGGAGGUACGGUCGCAAGGCUGAAACUUAAAGGAAUUGGCGGGGGGAGCACCACAACGGGUGGAGCCUGCGGUUUAAUUGGACUCAACGCCGGGAAGCUCACCGGAUAAGACAGCGGAAUGAUUGCCGGGCUGAAGACUCUGCAUGACUAGCUGAGAGGAGGUGCAUGGCGUAGACGUCU
This 262-nucleotide ribosomal RNA is filed under the name uncultured archaeon. RNAcentral describes it as "partial 16S ribosomal RNA". It matches the Rfam family "Archaeal small subunit ribosomal RNA", at positions 748 to 1009 of the family's 1478-position model. The record is from RNAcentral.